GCUCAUGGCUGCUCAGUAGUCGGUGUAGGAUCUGUCUGACGGUCUCACUAACAGCUACAUCUGAUUACUGGGUCACCCAAGGGCGAC
Nestor notabilis (Kea) is the source of this 87-nucleotide non-coding RNA. NCBI's taxonomy places the organism in Eukaryota, Metazoa, Chordata, Aves, Psittaciformes, Psittacidae. The record is from Rfam.